Molecule: ribosomal RNA, 483 nt
Filed under: uncultured bacterium
Lineage: Bacteria
Description: partial 16S ribosomal RNA
Rfam family: Bacterial small subunit ribosomal RNA
Source: RNAcentral
AUUGAACGCUGGCGGCAGGCCUAACACAUGCAAGUCGAGCGGAUGAAGGGAGCUUGCUCCUGGAUUCAGCGGCGGACGGGUGAGUAAUGCCUAGGAAUCUGCCUGGUAGUGGGGGAUAACGUCCGGAAACGGGCGCUAAUACCGCAUACGUCCUGAGGGAGAAAGUGGGGGAUCUUCGGACCUCACGCUAUCAGAUGAGCCUAGGUCGGAUUAGCUAGUUGGUGGGGUAAAGGCCUACCAAGGCGACGAUCCGUAACUGGUCUGAGAGGAUGAUCAGUCACCCGGGAACUGGGAACCGGUCCAGCCCCCUAGGGGGGGCAGCGGUGGGGAAUUUUGGAAAAUGGGCGAAAGCCUGAUCCAGCCAUGCCGCGUGGGUGAAGAAGGUCUUCGGUUUGUAAAGCCCUUUAAUUGGGGGGGAAGGGAAGUAAGUUAAACCCUUGCUUUUUUGACGUUACCGAAAAAAAAAGCCCCGCCUAACUCCGU